Molecule: long non-coding RNA, 626 nt
Organism: Mauremys reevesii (Reeves's turtle)
Lineage: Eukaryota; Metazoa; Chordata; Testudines; Geoemydidae
Exons: 3
Source: RefSeq, a predicted model, not a curated record
GGGUCUCAGCUGUGUAGCCCGUAGAACAACGUGCACAUGCACGGAAGAGUCGGGAUCAAAGCACGGAAGAUUCCUAUCCCCCCCGCGCCCCAAGAAGGGGCCCCUCAGGUCGAGGGGAUGCACUCCGGGAGCUGGGGGUCCGUCCUCCGGCUAGAUCUGGGAGCGGCAGGUGAUGGGGCGCGAAGCGAGGAAGGAGCGGCGGCUACACGCGGGACGCGGAACCCGUCCCAGGGCUUCCUUCUCUGCAGUUGAGCACCUUAACCACUCAGCCACUGCACUGAAAGGCCACCUCUCAUUCACCCAGCUGUAAAAUGAGUGCCUAACCCAUCUGGCUGAGGCAGUCAAAGGCGGUCAGAUGUGAUGCUGGCCAUAUCCCUCCCUUGUGUACUGCUGGCAACGAAACCGACAUGCCUUUACCACAUCAGCCCGAUGAGCUGUUGGGCUUGGAAGAACUUUGAACUUUUGACUUCUGUGGAGAAACCAGAAGAUGCAGCCUACCUCUCUCUGAUCUGCCCCUUGCAAUCAAGAGCCCCAUCUUCUAAAAUGGAGGAGGAUCUUUGGUCUCACCCAACAUCAUUGCAUGACAGCUGCUCUACACUUCCUCCCCUUCUCCAAAAUUAAAAUGU